AACGUAGGUACCGAGCGUUAUCCGGAUUUACUGGGCGUAAAGCGUGUUCAGGCGGUCUGUCAAGUCGGGCAUGAAAGCUCUCGGCUCAACCGGGAGAGGCUGUCCGAUACUGGCAGACUUGAGGGCAGUAGAGGGUGGUGGAAUUCCGGGUGUAGUGGUGAAAUGCGUAGAUAUCCGGAGGAACACCAGUGGCGAAAGCGGCCACCUGGACUGCACCUGACGCUCAAACACGAAAGCUAGGGGAGCGAACGGG
RNAcentral lists this ribosomal RNA (253 nucleotides) under uncultured bacterium. Its description in RNAcentral is "partial 16S ribosomal RNA". It matches the Rfam family "Bacterial small subunit ribosomal RNA", at positions 524 to 776 of the family's 1533-position model. RNAcentral also lists the same sequence under 1 other name. The record is from RNAcentral.